RNAcentral lists this ribosomal RNA (247 nucleotides) under uncultured bacterium. Its description in RNAcentral is "partial 16S ribosomal RNA". It matches the Rfam family "Bacterial small subunit ribosomal RNA", at positions 110 to 353 of the family's 1533-position model. The record is from RNAcentral.
GUAAUGUAUGGGGAGUCUGCCCGACUAGAGGGGGAGUAACUACUGGAAACGGUAGGCUAAUACCGCAUAAUGUCUACGGACCAAAGCAGGGGCGUCUUCGGACCUUGCACUAUCGGAUGAACCAUAUGGGAUUAGCUAGUAGGUGGGGUAAAGGGCUCACCUAGGCGACGAUCUCUAGCUGGUCUGAGAGGAUGAUCAGCCACACUGGGACUGAGACACGGCCCAGACUCCUACGGGAGGCAGCAUG